Molecule: non-coding RNA, 203 nt
Organism: Zea mays
Lineage: Eukaryota; Viridiplantae; Streptophyta; Magnoliopsida; Poales; Poaceae
Source: Rfam
AUUUAUCGGUCUUUUGACUGAGAUAAAAUAUAAUAUCUGUUCUUAUAAGUUUAAUAUCUGAUAUGUAGAUAAUAUGUUUAAUUGGUAUAAAUUUAUUUUUCAUGGUUAUCAAAUAUGAUCGUGUGCCCUCGUAACCCAGGAGCAUUGUACUUAACAACUGUAGUCCAUGAUCUUCUAAUUAGGGCAUGUACAGUGGGUAUCUU